Molecule: ribosomal RNA, 253 nt
Filed under: uncultured bacterium
Lineage: Bacteria
Description: partial 16S ribosomal RNA
Rfam family: Bacterial small subunit ribosomal RNA
Source: RNAcentral
UACAGAGGGUGCGAGCGUUAAUCGGAAUUACUGGGCGUAAAGCGUGCGCAGGCGGUGAUGUAAGACAGAUGUGAAAUCCCCGGGCUCAACCUGGGAACUGCAUUGGAAACUGGCGAGCUUGAGUAUGGCAGAGGGGGGUGGAAUUCCGCGUGUAGCAGUGAAAUGCGUAGAGAUGCGGAGGAACACCGAUGGCGAAGGCAGCCCCCUGGGCCAAUACUGACGCUCAGGCACGAAAGCGUGGGGAGCAAACAGG